CUGGCAAUGCUUCGGGUGGGAAAGCUAGUGCAGAGAAGUGCCUAAAAGUCACUUCCUCGGGGAGCACAGCUUCUGUAGAGGCUGGGGUCUCAAACGUGGAUUCCAGCGCCAUGAAGAUGCAACUGGCUGGCGUCGGACCGGAUGCGGCAUCUGCCAGCCAGGCGAGACCAAGCACCGCGAGAGCAGAACUAUACAGCAGUCUACCUGCAAGACUCUGAGCAAGAGCAUUGUGCGAUGGUGGUAUGCAACCACCAUAGUUCCCAAAUUUGUAAAUUUGGGAACUAUGGCCUAAAUUUGUACUCUCGACUAUAUUAAACCCAGCGUUUUUUUAAUUGC
Ixodes scapularis (black-legged tick) is the source of this 336-nucleotide long non-coding RNA. RefSeq lists it as uncharacterized. NCBI's taxonomy places the organism in Eukaryota, Metazoa, Arthropoda, Arachnida, Ixodida, Ixodidae. The record is from RefSeq and is a predicted model, not a curated record. The transcript is spliced from 2 exons.